This 928-nucleotide long non-coding RNA is filed under the name Homo sapiens (human). RNAcentral describes it as "SRP14 divergent transcript". Lineage: Eukaryota; Metazoa; Chordata; Mammalia; Primates; Hominidae. The record is from RNAcentral.
GGGGGCCUGUGACCCGGAGGCGCUGGGGCUGUCCUGGGUCGUCACAUGCGAGAAAUCGUCUCACCCCAGCCAGUGUGACGGAGUGAGAGCAAAAGAAAGUUUUGAUAGCAGCGUACGAUUUAUAUUCAGCUGUAUGCUGGGCAGGUCCAACUUGGCAUUUCUUGGCUGUAUCUCUGAAGGAAAGUCAUCUUAAUCUCUAUGAGCCUCCAUUUCCUCAGCUGUAAAAUGGGAAGAUCUUCCUCACACUGCUGUGGUGUCUCGACUCCCCAAAGCGACAGAUGCUGUUCAUCUCUUGGCCUCUGUGUCAUCAUUCAUCCUUGAUUGUUCGGGGAAGCCCACUCCACCUCUGUGACAGACCCACAGAUGCAGAUUUACACAGGGAAUCCUAGACAGACACAAUGAAGAAACUCCCAUCUGAUCAGAGCCAAGUCCCAGUAAUAACAUCAAUGAAUCAUUGACUUCAGUGAGUCACAAUAUUGAGCUGGAAGAGGCCUCCAAGACCUUUUUAGUCCAACCCUUUACCUGCUAGUUAUUCACAAGUGAAUAGAAACUGAGUGAGGUCCAAAGAGGGAAAAUGACUUGACCAAGAUCACAAAGCUUGGUAAUGCCAAAGACAUUUAGUGAGUGCCUGCUGUGUGUCAUCCAUUGUGACAGUGUUGGGAACACGGAGAUGAAUAAAACAAGGCCCCUGUCCUGGGAGAGCCGAGAGGCCACCUGUCAGCUGACAUCUUAGGGAGGACACCAUCUACAUCCAACCCUGACUACUGAACACUUCCAGUUUCUUGGAAGAAAGAUUUUAAAAUCUUCAGAAAUGAGAACUCCUCCAAAUAGGAUUUUCAUUUGUUUCAUAUAUUUUAAAAUUUUAUAUUUUAAUAUGUAACAGUCAUAUGGUUUAAAUAUAAAAAUGACAUCAGUGGCUCAGUAAGAA